This 1385-nucleotide ribosomal RNA is filed under the name Pseudomonas sp. GV085. RNAcentral describes it as "bacterial LSU rRNA". It matches the Rfam family "Bacterial large subunit ribosomal RNA", at positions 1577 to 2925 of the family's 2925-position model. The record is from RNAcentral. Lineage: Bacteria; Pseudomonadati; Pseudomonadota; Gammaproteobacteria; Pseudomonadales; Pseudomonadaceae.
UCUGGGUGACGAAGUGGUUGAUGCCAUGCUUCCAAGAAAAGCUUCUAAGCUUCAGGUAACCAGGAACCGUACCCCAAACCGACACAGGUGGUUGGGUAGAGAAUACCAAGGCGCUUGAGAGAACUCGGGUGAAGGAACUAGGCAAAAUGGCACCGUAACUUCGGGAGAAGGUGCGCCGGUGAGGGUGAAGGACUUGCUCCGUAAGCCCACGCCGGUCGAAGAUACCAGGCCGCUGCGACUGUUUAUUAAAAACACAGCACUCUGCAAACACGAAAGUGGACGUAUAGGGUGUGACGCCUGCCCGGUGCCGGAAGGUUAAUUGAUGGGGUUAGCUAACGCGAAGCUCUUGAUCGAAGCCCCGGUAAACGGCGGCCGUAACUAUAACGGUCCUAAGGUAGCGAAAUUCCUUGUCGGGUAAGUUCCGACCUGCACGAAUGGCGUAACGAUGGCGGCGCUGUCUCCACCCGAGACUCAGUGAAAUUGAAAUCGCUGUGAAGAUGCAGUGUAUCCGCGGCUAGACGGAAAGACCCCGUGAACCUUUACUAUAGCUUUGCACUGGACUUUGAAUUUGCUUGUGUAGGAUAGGUGGGAGGCUUUGAAGCGUGGACGCCAGUUCGCGUGGAGCCAACCUUGAAAUACCACCCUGGCAACUUUGAGGUUCUAACUCAGGUCCGUUAUCCGGAUCGAGGACAGUGUAUGGUGGGUAGUUUGACUGGGGCGGUCUCCUCCUAAAGAGUAACGGAGGAGUACGAAGGUGCGCUCAGACCGGUCGGAAAUCGGUCGUAGAGUAUAAAGGCAAAAGCGCGCUUGACUGCGAGACAGACACGUCGAGCAGGUACGAAAGUAGGUCUUAGUGAUCCGGUGGUUCUGUAUGGAAGGGCCAUCGCUCAACGGAUAAAAGGUACUCCGGGGAUAACAGGCUGAUACCGCCCAAGAGUUCAUAUCGACGGCGGUGUUUGGCACCUCGAUGUCGGCUCAUCACAUCCUGGGGCUGAAGCCGGUCCCAAGGGUAUGGCUGUUCGCCAUUUAAAGUGGUACGCGAGCUGGGUUUAGAACGUCGUGAGACAGUUCGGUCCCUAUCUGCCGUGGACGUUUGAGAUUUGAGAGGGGCUGCUCCUAGUACGAGAGGACCGGAGUGGACGAACCUCUGGUGUUCCGGUUGUCACGCCAGUGGCAUUGCCGGGUAGCUAUGUUCGGAAAAGAUAACCGCUGAAAGCAUCUAAGCGGGAAACUUGCCUCAAGAUGAGAUCUCACUGGGACCUUGAGUCCCCUGAAGGGCCGUCGAAGACUACGACGUUGAUAGGUUGGGUGUGUAAGCGCUGUGAGGCGUUGAGCUAACCAAUACUAAUUGCCCGUGAGGCUUGACCAUAUAACACCCAAGCAAU